GCCUCUGAAUCCGGAGCUAUAGGAAGCAAAAAGUCGAACUGCAAGAAAUGGGCAGAUGCCUCAAGGCUAGAGGAGCUGGGGGAAGGGCGCACGCGAGAACUGAACAGAUACCGCACCAGCAACCAGAAAUCAAGUCCAGCUCAGCAAAGUAUGUUCUUUAAUAUGAGAAGCUGAUUGGUUGUUUCCUCUGCUUGUGCUGACAUCCAAUUAAAAGAAUGAAACCAGAAAAAGAUAGCUUCUUGGAAGCCCUACUUAUAACCUAAUUAGUGAACCAGAGAAGGAACUUAGCAUCUCUGACCUUCAUGUUCACCUUCACGGCCUUUCUGCUUCAGAGUAGAACAAACUAACUCUGUUAGAAUGCCAGAGGUUUUCAAGGAAUGCAAAAAAGAAAGCAGAGUGAAAGGAAAGAAAGACACUGAAGAGGUCCUCACUGGCAGUAACUUAUUCUUGUUACUUCUGCAUACCAUCAAUGAUGUUUGCAUCUUCAGCAAGCCUAGACAUCUCUGCCUGUGAACUUGGGAUGGAUGGAAGAUAUCUAUGGAAGGAUGCAGAUGAUGAGGCCAUUAAGAACCCAACUGUGGUGGACAGUCUUUUUCAAAUUAUUAUUAUUAUUAUUAUUAUUAGUAGUAGUAGUAGUAGUAGUAUGUUGUAUUAUUCCAUAGUAUCUGACCACCCUCUCUAAUACAAAUCAUACUUAAUGUUGUCACUUACGGUACAGUAUACACAUAGCACCAUGGAAACUAGCCAUGGGGUUAGCCCUUACUACUGCAUGAAUGUCUGAAGAGUAGGUACCAUCAACUAUCCUUCUAUGCUGCAUCAAUUAUCCUGUCUACUGCUGUAUGUCCAUUUUUACCUAUCAUUAAGCUUCACAAAAACUUAAGUUACUUAAAAAUUAAACAUUCAAAUGUUUGUUGAGAAAACAAUAAACAUGAAAAAUUUUCCUAUU
Molecule: long non-coding RNA, 946 nt
Filed under: Mus pahari (shrew mouse)
Lineage: Eukaryota; Metazoa; Chordata; Mammalia; Rodentia; Muridae
Description: lncRNA (MGP_PahariEiJ_G0006372.1)
Source: RNAcentral